GACAUGGCUUAGCUAUUGCUGUCUGCUAUUAUGUAAUUUUUGUAUAAUUUCUAUUCAAUAACAGCUGUAAUUUUGGAAGCACUCAAAUUAAUAACUGCAUACAAAAUAACCCAUCAGUCUCAUUUUAUUCCCAAAGUACAUUAUAGCAGACAGCAAUAGCUAAGCCAUGUCUUUCCAUAGCAUCAGGGGAUAAGAAGGAUCUUCCCAAUAUGUUGGCUACUUUCCAUAAGCCGGUGAGCCUCUGCUGCCUCAGAUAGGGGAAAUUGCUUAUAGACCAGAAGCUUCACCUUCCCUGCAACAACAGCAGGCCAAACAUUCUUCUCCACCUCAUUCACAAUUUCUGCUAUUUCUGUUUUUUUUUCUGGUCUUCUCAUCCGAAAGCCAGUCGCUUGCACUGUGAGGCGCU
This 406-nucleotide unclassified non-coding RNA is filed under the name Hevea brasiliensis (rubber tree). Lineage: Eukaryota; Viridiplantae; Streptophyta; Magnoliopsida; Malpighiales; Euphorbiaceae. The record is from RNAcentral.